UACGUAGGGGGCAAGCGUUGUCCGGAUUUAUUGGGCGUAAAGAGCGUGUAGGCGGCCAGGUAGGUCAGCUGUGAAAACUCGAGGCUUAACCUCGAGACGCCGGCUGAAACCCUCUGGCUAGAGUCCGGAAGAGGAGAGCGGAAUUCCUGGUGUAGCGGUGAAAUGCGCAGAUAUCAGGAGGAACACCAAUGGCGAAGGCAGCUCGCUGGGACGGUACUGACGCUGAGGCGCGAAAGCGUGGGGAGCGAACAGG
Molecule: ribosomal RNA, 253 nt
Filed under: uncultured bacterium
Lineage: Bacteria
Description: partial 16S ribosomal RNA
Rfam family: Bacterial small subunit ribosomal RNA
Source: RNAcentral